GGCCAUAUCACAUUGAAAUACUGGUUCCUGUAAUAUCACUGAAGUUAAGUAGUUGAGCCCAGUCAGUACCUAUAUGGGUGACCACUUGGGAAUACCAGGUGCUGUA
Acanthosepion pharaonis is the source of this 106-nucleotide non-coding RNA. NCBI's taxonomy places the organism in Eukaryota, Metazoa, Mollusca, Cephalopoda, Sepiida, Sepiidae. The record is from the annotation of a GenBank genome assembly.